AUGAACGCUGGCGGCGUGCCUAAUACAUGCCAGUCGAGCGCACGGACGAGAAGCUUGCUUCUCUGAUGUUAGCGGCGGACGGGUGAGUAACACGUGGAUAACCUACCUAUAAGACUGGGAUAACUUCGGGAAACCGUAGCUAAUACCGGAUAAUAUUUUGAACCGCAUGGUUCAAAAGUGAAAGACGGUCUUGCUGUCACUUAUAGAUGGAUCCGCGCUGCAUUAGCUAGUUGGUAAGGUAACGGCUUACCAAGGCAACGAUGCAUAGCCGACCUGAGAGGGUGAUCGGCCACACUGGAACUGAGACACGGUCCAGACUCCUACGGGAGGCAGCAGUAGGGAAUCUUCCGCAAUGGGCGAAAGCCUGACGGAGCAACGCCGCGUGAGUGAUGAAGGUCUUCGGAUCGUAAAACUCUGUUAUUAGGGAAGAACAUAUGUGUAAGUAACUGUGCACAUCUUGACGGUACCUAAUCAGAAAGCCACGGCUAACUACGUG
RNAcentral lists this ribosomal RNA (496 nucleotides) under uncultured bacterium. Its description in RNAcentral is "partial 16S ribosomal RNA". It matches the Rfam family "Bacterial small subunit ribosomal RNA", at positions 29 to 507 of the family's 1533-position model. The record is from RNAcentral.